RNAcentral lists this unclassified non-coding RNA (247 nucleotides) under Hevea brasiliensis (rubber tree). The record is from RNAcentral. Lineage: Eukaryota; Viridiplantae; Streptophyta; Magnoliopsida; Malpighiales; Euphorbiaceae.
GGGGGACCAGGUGCGCAAAUGGUCUGUUGAUUGUGCAUUUGUAAGCCUAAGUUAGGCGGCCAACGAACAGCUGGCUUGGUCAUUACACCUAAUCUGCUAUUUUUAGCAUUGUAACUAGCAUCUGAAGUCUGAAAGUUCACUGAUCCUCCAAAGGGAUUAAUAGCAAAUAAAUGGCUGGUCCCCCUCGAAGAACUUAUCAUAAUCCAGUUGCUGUCAUUACUGAAACUGAUGUCCUGUAUAACUGCAU